Non-coding RNA from Oryza glumipatula, 207 nucleotides. Lineage: Eukaryota; Viridiplantae; Streptophyta; Magnoliopsida; Poales; Poaceae. The record is from Rfam.
AAAAAGACAAACCUUAGAUUUUCGUGUCCAACGUUUGACUGUCCGUCUUAUAUAAAUUUUUUUUAUAAUUAAUAUUUUUAUUGUUAUUAGAUAAUAAAACAUGAUUAAUACUUUAUACGUGACUUGUCUUUUUAAUUUUUUUCAUAAUUUUUUCAAAUAAAACGGACGGUCAAACGUUGGACACGGAAACUCAGGAUUUGUCUUUUU